UACGUAGGUCGCAAGCGUUGUCCGGAUUUACCGGGCGUAAAGAGCGCGCAGGCGGCUGGUCAAGUCCGAUGUGAAAUCUCCCGGCUCAACUGGGAAACUGCAUCGGAAACUGAUCGGCUUGAAGAUGGGAGAGGGUAGUGGAAUUUCCGGUGUAGUGGUGAAAUGCGUAGAUAUCGGGAGGAACACCAGUGGCGAAGGCGACUACCUGGCCCAUUCUUGACGCUGAGGCGCGAAAGCUAGGGGAGCGAACGGG
This 253-nucleotide ribosomal RNA is filed under the name uncultured bacterium. RNAcentral describes it as "partial 16S ribosomal RNA". It matches the Rfam family "Bacterial small subunit ribosomal RNA", at positions 524 to 776 of the family's 1533-position model. The record is from RNAcentral.